UUUGGAAUAUUCCACAAUGGGCGCAAGCCUGAUGGAGCGACACCGCGUGAAGGACGAAGGUCUUCGGAUUGUAAACUUCUUUAGACCUAGAUGAAGACUUCAGGGCGAACAGUCCUGAAGUUUGACAGUAUAGGUAGAAUAAGCCACGGCUAACUCUGUGCCAGCAGCCGCGGUAAUACAGAGGUGGCAAACGUUGUCCGGAUUUAUUGGGUGUAAAGGGCAUGUAGGUGGUUCUAUAAGUCAAAGGUGAAAUGGCCCGGCUCAACCAGGUCAUUGCCUUUGAAACUGCAGAACUUGAGUACGGAAGAGGAAAGCGGAAUUCCCAGUGUAGCGGUGAAAUGCGUAGAUAUUGGGAGGAACACCGGUGGCGAAGGCGGCUUUCUGGUCCGAAACUGACACUGAGAUGCGAAAGCCAGGGGAGCAAACGGGAUUAGAUACCCCCGUAGUCC
This 449-nucleotide ribosomal RNA is filed under the name uncultured bacterium. RNAcentral describes it as "bacterial SSU rRNA". It matches the Rfam family "Bacterial small subunit ribosomal RNA", at positions 355 to 796 of the family's 1533-position model. The record is from RNAcentral.